This 406-nucleotide ribosomal RNA is filed under the name uncultured bacterium. RNAcentral's name for it is "partial 16S ribosomal RNA". It matches the Rfam family "Bacterial small subunit ribosomal RNA", at positions 30 to 526 of the family's 1533-position model. The record is from RNAcentral.
AUUGAACGCUGGCGGCAGGCCUAACACAUGCAAGUCGAACGAGUGGCGGACGGGUGAGUAACGUCUGGGAAACUGCCUGAUGGAGGGGGAUAACUACUGGAAACGGUAGCUAAUACCGCAUACUAUCGGAUGUGCCCAGAUGGGAUUAGCUAGUAGGUGGGGUAAAGGAUCACCUAGGCGACGAUCCCUAGCAGGUCUGCGAGGAUGACCAGCAACACUGGAACUGAGCCACGGUCAAGACUCCUACGGGAGGCAGCAGUGGGAAAUAUUGCACAAUGGGCGCAAGCCUGAUGCAGCCAUGCCGCGUGUAUGAAGAAGGCCUUCGGAUUGUAAAGCACUUUCAGCGGGGAGGCGUUACCCGCAGAAGAAGCACCGGCUAACUCCGUGCCAGCAGCCGCGGUAAUUC